RNAcentral lists this ribosomal RNA (484 nucleotides) under uncultured bacterium. Its description in RNAcentral is "partial 16S ribosomal RNA". It matches the Rfam family "Bacterial small subunit ribosomal RNA", at positions 30 to 507 of the family's 1533-position model. The record is from RNAcentral.
AUUGAACGCUGGCGGCAGGCCUAACACAUGCAAGUCGAGCGGAUGAAGGGAGCUUGCUCCUGGAUUCAGCGGCGGACGGGUGAGUAAUGCCUAGGAAUCUGCCUGGUAGUGGGGGAUAACGUCCGGAAGCGGGCGCUAAUACCGCAUACGUCCUGAGGGAGAAAGUGGGGGAUCUUCGGACCUCACGCUAUCAGAUGAGCCUAGGUCGGAUUAGCUAGUUGGUGGGGUAAAGGCCUACCAAGGCGACGAUCCGUAACUGGUCUGAGAGGAUGAUCGGUCACACUGGAACUGAGACACGGUCCAGACUCCUACGGGAGGCAGCAGUGGGGAAUAUUGGACAAUGGGCGAAAGCCUGAUCCAGCCAUGCCGCGUGUGUGAAGAAGGUCUUCGGAUUGUAAAGCACUUUAAGUUGGGAGGAAGGGCAGUAAGUUAAUACCUUGCUGUUUUGACGUUACCAACAGAAUAAGCACCGGCUAACUUCGUG